This 151-nucleotide unclassified non-coding RNA is filed under the name soil metagenome. RNAcentral describes it as "partial internal transcribed spacer 1". The record is from RNAcentral.
CCAGAAGAGACCCUAACCGGUCCUCUCAACCCUGCCCAUCGUACCCUUGUGUUGUUCCCUCGGCGAGGCUUUUCAAGCCCGCCGGCGGGAAGAUCAACGAAACUCUUUGCAAGCAAGCAUCCUGAAACCUCUGAUCGAAUACAAAUUGUCA